This 468-nucleotide ribosomal RNA is filed under the name uncultured bacterium. RNAcentral describes it as "partial 16S ribosomal RNA". It matches the Rfam family "Bacterial small subunit ribosomal RNA", at positions 28 to 507 of the family's 1533-position model. The record is from RNAcentral.
GACGAACGCUGGCGGCGUGCUUAACACAUGCAAGUCGAACGGAAAGGCCCUGCUUUUGUGGGGUGCUCGAGUGGCGAACGGGUGAGUAACACGUGAGUAACCUGCCCUUGACUUUGGGAUAACUUCAGGAAACUGAGGCUAAUACCGGAUAGGAGCUCCUGCUGCAUGGUGGGGGUUGGAAAGUUUCGGCGGUUGGGGUUGGACUCGCGGCUUAUCAGCUUGUUGGUGGGGUAGUGGCUUACCAAGGCUUUGACGGGUAGCCGGCCUGAGAGGGUGACCGGCCACAGUGGGACUGAGAUACGGCCCAGACUCCUACGGGAGGCAGCAGUGGGGAAUAUUGCACGAUGGGCGGAAGCCUGAUGCAGCAACGCCGCGUGCGGGAUGACGGCCUUCGGGUUGUAAACCGCUUUCGCCUGUGACGAAGCGUGAGUGACGGUAAUGGGUAAAGAAGCACCGGCUAACUACGUG